Molecule: unclassified non-coding RNA, 186 nt
Filed under: soil metagenome
Description: partial contains 5.8S ribosomal RNA, internal transcribed spacer 2, and large subunit ribosomal RNA
Source: RNAcentral
AACGAGGCCGACCUGCGGCUGAGUUACCUGCGGAGGGAUCAUUAAAAAAACAUUUAAUGAAAUGUCGGGGCGUGUUUUUCGCGCGCUCCGAGUAUUCAACCAACCCCGCUCGUGUAUCUGAAUCAAACAAAAUUAAAUAAAUAAACUGAUAACAGUAAUUAAGAAAAAACUUUCAACAACGGAUCU